RNAcentral lists this ribosomal RNA (497 nucleotides) under uncultured bacterium. Its description in RNAcentral is "partial 16S ribosomal RNA". It matches the Rfam family "Bacterial small subunit ribosomal RNA", at positions 28 to 507 of the family's 1533-position model. The record is from RNAcentral.
GAUGAACGCUGGCGGCGUGCCUAAUACAUGCAAGUCGAGCGAACAGACGAGGAGCUUGCUCCUCUGACGUUGGCGGCGGACGGGUGAGUAACACGUGGAUAACCUACCUAUAAGACUGGGAUAACUUCGGGAAACCGGAGCUAAUACCGGAUAAUAUAUUGAACCGCAUGGUUCAAUAGUGAAAGACGGUUUUGCUGUCACUUAUAGAUGGAUCCGCGCCGCAUUAGCUAGUUGGUGAGGUAACGGCUUACCAAGGCAACGAUGCGUAGCCGACCUGAGAGGGUGAUCGGCCACACUGGAACUGAGACACGGUCCAGACUCCUACGGGAGGCAGCAGUAGGGAAUCUUCCGCAAUGGGCGAAAGCCUGACGGAGCAACGCCGCGUGAGUGAUGAAGGUCUUCGGAUCGUAAAGCUCUGUUAUUAGGGAAGAACAAAUGUGUAAGUAACUAUGCACGUCUUGACGGUACCUAAUCAGAAAGCCACGGCUAACUACGUG